UACGAAGGGGGCUAGCGUUGCUCGGAAUCACUGGGCGUAAAGCGCACGUAGGCGGCUUUUUAAGUCAGGGGUGAAAUCCUGGAGCUCAACUCCAGAACUGCCUUUGAUACUGGGAAGCUUGAGUCCGGGAGAGGUGAGUGGAACUCCGAGUGUAGAGGUGAAAUUCGUAGAUAUUCGGAAGAACACCAGUGGCGAAGGCGGCUCACUGGCCCGGUACUGACGCUGAGGUGCGAAAGCUAGGGGAGCAAACGGG
RNAcentral lists this ribosomal RNA (253 nucleotides) under uncultured bacterium. Its description in RNAcentral is "partial 16S ribosomal RNA". It matches the Rfam family "Bacterial small subunit ribosomal RNA", at positions 524 to 776 of the family's 1533-position model. The record is from RNAcentral.